GCUUGUUUCAAAGAUUAAGCCAUGCAUGUCUAAGUAUAAGCGAACUUAUACAGUGAAACUGCGGAUGACUCAUUAAAACAGUUUGAAUUUAUUUGAUGAAUGUAUGAGAAUACUACUUGGAUAACCGUAGUAAUUCUAGAGCUAAUACAUGCAACGACGCCCGACCGUUUCACUACGGAAGGGCUGUAUUUAUUGGAUACCAAAACCAUCCUUCCCUCGGGAAGUUUUGUUUGAUGAUUCACAAUAACUGAUCGGAUCGCCACUGUGGUGGCGACAGGUCAUUCAACAUUCUGCCCUAUCAGCUUUCGAUGGUUGUGUAGUGGACAACCAUGGCCAUAACGGGUAACGGAGAAUCAGGGUUCGAUUCCGGAGAAGGAGCUUGAGAAUUGGCUACUACAUCUAAGGAAGGCAGCAGGCGCGCAAAUUACCCAAUCCCGAUUCGGGGAGGUAGUGACAAAAAAUAACAAUACCGGGCCUUUUUGGGCUUGGUAAUUGGAAUGAGGGAGAGUUAAACGGACCAUCGAGUAUCCAUUGGAGGGCAAGUCUGGUGCCAGCAGCUGCGGUAAUACCAGCUCCAAUAGCGUAUAUUAAAGUUGUUGCAGUUAAAAAGCUCGUAGUUGGACUUGUGUGCGCUGUCCGCGGGUGGCCUGCGCCCAAAAGGGCGUUUCGGUUCGGCCCCGGUGGCGCCUUGAAAUCUGCAGCUGGGGGGACGUUGGCCUUAACUGGUCGGCGACCGCACGCCGGCUGCUCGGUUACUGUGAGAAAAUUAGAGUGUUCAAGGCAGGCAUUGGGUGCAAUUGAAUACAUUAGCAUGGAAUAAUAAAAUAUGGCUCCUGCCGUAUUUUGUUGGUUUUGACUGGUGGGAGUAAUGAUUGAUAGGGACGGUUGGGGGUGCUAGUAUUGAGCGGCCAGAGGUGAGAUUCAUGGAUUCGCUCAAGACUAACUUAUGCGAAAGCAUUCACCAAGGACGUCCUCUUUAAUCAAGAACGAAAGUUGGGGGAUCGAAGACGAUCAGAUACCGUCGUAGUCUCAACCAUAAACUAUGUCGACUUGGGAUCGGCGGUAGUUUUUUCAUUAAGACACUGUCGGGACCACGGGAGAAAUCAAAGUGUCUGGACUCUGGGGGAAGUAUGGUCGCAAGGCUGAAACUUGAAGGAAUUGACGGAAGGGCACCACCAGGAGUGGAGCCUGCGGCUUAAUUUGACCCAACACGGGGAAACUUACCAGGUCCAGAGAUGUAGAGGAUUGACAGAUUGAAGCUCUUUCCUGAUCACUUCGGUGGUGGUGCAUGGCCG
This 1295-nucleotide ribosomal RNA is filed under the name metagenome. RNAcentral's name for it is "SSU rRNA". It matches the Rfam family "Eukaryotic small subunit ribosomal RNA", at positions 30 to 1290 of the family's 1831-position model. The record is from RNAcentral.